Long non-coding RNA from Triplophysa dalaica, 3584 nucleotides. RefSeq lists it as uncharacterized. The record is from RefSeq and is a predicted model, not a curated record. NCBI's taxonomy places the organism in Eukaryota, Metazoa, Chordata, Actinopteri, Cypriniformes, Nemacheilidae. The transcript has 4 exons.
UCUACCCCAACCACUGGGUUAUGAAAUGGUUUACCCAUUAUGGGUUAUUUAUAUCAAUAUUUGGGUUAUAUUUAUAUAUUUGGGUUAUUUUGUGCAACUCAUGCGUUGAGUUAAAAUCCAUCAACCCAACAUACAUCGGUUGACCCAGCACGUGGGUUGUUUGUGCUUCGAACGUCAUCACAUCUUCACGAGAGUCAAGAGUCCACACACCAAGUGCUCGUCACAGAAGAAAACCUGACUGAUCAUCCAGCGAGGCAAAUGAAUAAUAAAAGAUCUAUGGACAGCUUUGUCAUUAACACUUUGACAAGAGUGGCAGCUGACAGACCUUGUCGACAAAUUUAAAGAUUGUACAGGGCAGUCUUGUCCUGCAAGGGGAUGCUGCAUCAAAAUUGUUUGAAACUUGGCUACCCAUUUAAGCUGAGAAGAUCCUGUGCCUGGCAAGACAGGAGGGGAAGCUGACAUUGCCCCUGGAUGGAUUAACACCAGAUGGUGUUGGGGAUCUCGCCCUGAGGCAGCUGCCAGCCUUGCUUCCACCUACAACUUACAAAGUUGGUCGUGGCCGCGGUGUGAAAGUGGUUCGCCACACCAUUCAGGAAUGCAGCUUGGCCUUCAUCGACCAUAAGCCUGCAAGUCCUCGAAGCACAUCUAAAGGGGAAACUCUAUUUUAUCAACAUAUCUGAGCUUAAGAAUGUGUGCAAGCACACUUGCAUAUCCAGGUUUGUUUUACUAUACUUUUGUGGACAGGCAUCAAAUAUAGCCUGACAGUAUUCUGAAAAUAGCCGUUCUACAUGCUUACAACACAAGCAUCCUGUGCUUCUAGAACACCUCAGCAGUGCCACAGGCCAAUAAUUACCUCUGUACCACACCACACUAAUGCAGUAAUUUGUUCUAAAACAGGCACCAACAAAGGUAUUGAGUGCAGAAAUCAACAUAUUUAUCAGAAGGUUGACACUUUUGUAUUUUAACUAGAGGUGCUCCGAUUGAUCGGUCGCCGAUCAUAAUCGGCCGAUAAUCACUUUGGGAAGUAUGAUCGGCGGUCUCUAAAAGGCCGAUCCAGAAAAGCCGAUCAGAUGACGCAAAAUUGACGAAACAUUUAUUUUACGCGAUAUGAAAAUGGCUUCACUGGUCAGGCAAUUCUACAAGGUGUGUGAAAUUGACAAUGCUUUAUCAAUCUGAUGCGUGUGUACUAUGUGAAUUCCACGAUGCGAGAAGCACCCAAAACAUUUUUACACCAACAACCUCUUUAGACGUUUGAGGGUUAGUCACAUAAAGGAGUGCAAGUAGUUUUCAAAGUUAGCCUCGCGCAAAGUGAGCGGGCAGUUCAGCAGCUCGAGCGCCACUCGGCUGCAGAGAUCGCGUCAACCGAAGAUUCAUUUGUUCUACCAGUGAUAGAAAUAUCUGAUGGCAAUCGUCAUUUUGACGCACUACAAUAAAGGCGAUUUGUAAUUCCCCUUUUUAUCAUUUCGUGUCAUUAGAACGUGAUCGUGAAGAACGUGAUCGUGAGCGGAAGGAGGUAGACUAUCGCGAAGGGACGUGUGUUUCUAUUCAUGAUCUUACUCUCAAAUGUCUAUUCAGUUUUGCUAAACGCGCAUGUGGUCAACAGAGACUCGAGAUGCAUAUAUGCAUCCAUCACUCCCCGCAUACACACAGGCGCGAUGUGGUGCCGUCUUUACAGAGUUUUUACAUCAUAAAAUAGCGUCUUUUUGUAUUAAUAAUAGCUUUCAGGGAGUGGAAAAAUAUCUCUAACUGCGUUUUCUCUGUUCAGUGAAGCAGCACAUAUAUGUGAAGCCGGACAACAAAAGUCUUAUGGGUACAUUUUUGGAAAAUAAGAUUUUACAUAAUUUACACAUAAAGGUGAAUAAUUAAGCUUUCUAUUGAUGUAUAAGUUGUCAUGAUAUGAUCAUAUCUGGCGGAGAUAUACCCGUUUACAACUCUUGAAUCUGAGGGUGCAAAAUAUUCAAAAUAUUGAGAAAAUUGCCUUUGAAGUUGUUAAUAAAAGGCCGUUAAUGGCCAUCCACUAACAAAAAGUAAAGUUUUGAUAUAUUUAGUAUAUUGAAUUUACAAAAUAUCUUCAUGGAACAUGAGAAAAUUCGAUCAUUUUGACCCAUACAAUGUAUUUUUGACUAUAACUAAAAAUAUUCCCGUGCUCCUUAAGGUUUCGUGAUCCAGGGUCACAUAUGACCAAACCACAGCUUUCUUGUGAGUACAAAACACCUUUUACAGGCACCUGUCAUUGUUAUUGUAUGGACAUAACAAACAUUUGCUUGUAAUUAGAUUAUUUUAUGUCCGACAACAGAAACAUUGAAAAUAUAUGAAAAGUCUAAGUCUAGCGCAACCUCUCCUCAGCUGACAGUAACAGAGACAUUUUUUAAAGCAUCAACCCUACUGCAAGGACAGUAAGAAGCAUAAAGAAAUAUCAUAUUAUCAGAUAAAAUAAUGUAAUAAAUUUGCUUUGAUCAUGGCCACUUUAUACUGUGGAAGACAAAGGGUUUCUGGGACUCAUGUCGCAUGCUACUAUGUUUUAUGAAAAUAUGUGGUAACACUUUCCUUGAAGCAUGUAUGUUUAAUUUAUUGUAAAAGUAGUUUUCAAGCAGUGUAAUGCACAUUUUAAUGCAUUGUAAUAUCUAAUAGAUAGUGUUGUAAUGUAUUAACUGUAAUAACAACUAAGCAAUUCAUUGUAACACGACACAUUUUAAAUUGGUUAUAAUUAUUUACAACUACAUAUAAUGCAUUACAACACACAUUAUGAAUAUUAAUAAUGCAUUUUACCCUUUAAUAAUUCUUUAUAAUGCAUUAUACAUAAAUGCUUCAAGGAAAGUGUUACCAAAUAUGUUACUUACUAAUAUUCAUUAGUUAAUUCAUGACACUUUCUCUUCUGGUACUGAGAAAGCUUCAAAUAGCAUCUAUAAUCGGUGAUCGGCCGAUACAGCUUUCAGUGAUCGAGGAUCGGUGAUCGGCUCAAAAAACCCUGAUCGGAGCACCCCUAAUUUUUAACCCAUUUGGACCUGACUCUGUGAGGUUGACUCUGUAGAUUUAGAAGACUUCUUUAAAGCAUUUGCGGCCCACCUAUCUGACCACCUAACUCGGCUGCCUAUCGGCCAGAUAGGAGAGUCAGAUUUUCUGAUCAUGUUUAUUGUAAUGAUAGAUCAUCAGUAGAUUUAUGCCGUUUUAGGUCAAUUGAGAACAUAUGAUACAGUUCAACGUUUUGAAUUAGAGAUGCACUGAAUCUUUUCCAAAUUGUCAAGCUAACUAGACUUUAUAAUAAAACAAUAAUUUCUGUAGUGAGGACCAGGAAAAUGGUCCUCACAAUAUCUAUAUUUGAAUUCUUCUAUAGUAGUCUGUAGACAUUUCGUCCUUACUCACUCGCACUUGCUCUCUUAUAUUCUUUCUUUUCUAGCCUGGAAUGAACAUGGUGGAGUACCUCCAUGAGGCCAAGGCAUGCAAACCAUACCCCAACAUGCUGACGCUGGGAAAUGAUCAGAGUGCAUUUCAGAAUUUUUUUUUCAAGACUGUUGGCAUGUUGAAUGUUCAGCCAGUUCAUUCAUAAUUGUUGUUUUGCUAUGAAUGUUUUCCUACCUAGUGAU